This 69-nucleotide transfer RNA is filed under the name Muntiacus sp. THA4. RNAcentral's name for it is "tRNA-Ser". It matches the Rfam family "tRNA". Rfam says of the family: Transfer RNA (tRNA) molecules are approximately 80 nucleotides in length. Their secondary structure includes four short double-helical elements and three loops (D, anti-codon, and T loops). Lineage: Eukaryota; Metazoa; Chordata; Mammalia; Artiodactyla; Cervidae. The record is from RNAcentral.
NNGAAAGACAUAGUGGUUAUGAUGUUGGCUUGAAACCAGCUAUGGAGGGUUCGAUUCCUUCCUUUCUUA